GCCCAGACUCCUACGGGAGGCAGCAGUGGGGAAUAUUGGACAAUGGGCGAAAGCCUGAUCCAGCAACGCCGCGUGAGGGAUGACGGCCUUCGGGUUGUAAACCUCUUUCAGUACCGACGAAGCGCCAAUAACGGUGGUGACGGUAGGUACAGAAGAAGGACCGGCCAACUACG
RNAcentral lists this ribosomal RNA (173 nucleotides) under uncultured bacterium. RNAcentral describes it as "partial 16S ribosomal RNA". It matches the Rfam family "Bacterial small subunit ribosomal RNA", at positions 329 to 505 of the family's 1533-position model. The record is from RNAcentral.